UGGGGAAUAUUGCGCAAUGGGCGAAAGCCUGACGCAGCAACGCCGCGUGAGUGAUGAAGGCCUUCGGGUCGUAAAGCUCUGUCGGAGGGAACGAAUGCUCUUGAGGUUAACAGCCUCGGGAGGUGACGGUACCCUCAAAGGAAGCACCGGCUGACUCUGUGCCAGCAGCCGCGGUAAUACAGAGGGUGCAAGCGUUAAUCGGAAUUACUGGGCGUAAAGCGCGUGUAGGUGGAUAAGUAAGUUGGAUGUGAAAGCCCCGGGCUCAACCUGGGAAUGCCAUUCAAAACUGCUCAUCUAGAGUAUGGUAGAGGGAAGUGGAAUUUCAGGUGUAGCGGUGAAAUGCGUAGAUAUCUGAAGGAACACCAGUGGCGAAGGCGGCUUCCUGGACCAAUACUGACACUGAGACGCGAAAGCGUGGGUAGCGAACAGGAUUAGAUACCCCCGUAGUCCCUGAGCGGGCUGGCAAGGCGCAU
RNAcentral lists this ribosomal RNA (473 nucleotides) under uncultured bacterium. RNAcentral's name for it is "bacterial SSU rRNA". It matches the Rfam family "Bacterial small subunit ribosomal RNA", at positions 355 to 825 of the family's 1533-position model. The record is from RNAcentral.